AGCCUGAUGCAGCCAUGCCGCGUGUGUGAAGAAGGCCUUCGGGUUGUAAAGCACUUUCAGCGAGGAGGAAAGGUUACUGGCUAAUAUCCAGUAGCUGUGACGUUACUCGCAGAAGAAGCACCGGCUAACUCCGUGCCAGCAGCCGCGGUAAUACGGAGGGUGCGAGCGUUAAUCGGAAUUACUGGGCGUAAAGCGUGCGCAGGCGGUUUGUUAAGCGAGAUGUGAAAGCCCCGGGCUCAACCUGGGAACUGCAUUUUGAACUGGCAAACUAGAGUCUUGUAGAGGGGGGUAGAAUUCCAGGUGUAGCGGUGAAAUGCGUAGAGAUCUGGAGGAAUACCGGUGGCGAAGGCGGCCCCCUGGACAAAGACUGACGCUCAUGCACGAAAGCGUGGGGAGCAAACAGGAUUAGAUACCCUGGUAGUCCACGCCGUAAACGAUGUCUACUCGGAGUUUGGUGUCUUGAACACUGGGCUCUCAAGCUAACGCAUUAAGUAGACCGCCUGG
This 504-nucleotide ribosomal RNA is filed under the name Shewanella sp. 5SW2S27. RNAcentral's name for it is "bacterial SSU rRNA". It matches the Rfam family "Bacterial small subunit ribosomal RNA", at positions 380 to 876 of the family's 1533-position model. RNAcentral also lists the same sequence under 2 other names. Lineage: Bacteria; Pseudomonadati; Pseudomonadota; Gammaproteobacteria; Alteromonadales; Shewanellaceae. The record is from RNAcentral.